UAGUUACUCUGUGGUUUCUGCUGUCUAAAACCAGGUUUGAUUCCAUCCCCCUCCUAGUUACUCUGUGGUUUCUGUUGUCUAAAACCAGGUUUGAUUCCAUCCCCUCCUAGUUACUCUGUGAUUUCUGCUGUCUAAAACCAGGUAUGAUUACAUCCCCCUCCUAGUUACUCUGUGGGAGUCUGUUAACUAAAACCAGAUAUAAUUCCAUCCCCUCCUAGUUACUCUGUGGGAGUCUGUUAACUGAAACCAGGUAUGAUUCCAUCCCCCUCCUAGUUACUCUGUGGGAGUCUGUUAACUAAAACCAGGUUUGAUUCCAUCCCCUCCUAGUUCCUCUGUGGGAGUCUGUUAACUAAAACCAGGUAUGAUUCCAUCCCCCCCUAGUUCCUCUGUGGGAGUCUGUUAACUAAAACCAGGUUUGAUUCCAUCCCCCUCCUAGUUACUCUGUGGUUUCUGCUGUCUAAAACCAGGUUUGAUUCCAUCCCCUCCUAGUUACUCUGUGGUUUCUGCUGUCUAAAACCAGGUUUGAUUCCAUCCCCCUCCUAGUUACUCUGUGGUUUCUGCUGUCUAAAACCAGGUUUGAUUCCAUCCCCUCCUAGUUACUCUGUGGUUUCUACUGUCUAAAACCAGGUUUGAUUCCAUCCCCCUCCUAGUUACUCUGUGGUUUCUGCUGUCUAAAACCAGGUUUGAUUCCAUCCCCUCCUAGUUACUCUGUGGGAGUCUGUUAACUAAAACCAGGUUUGAUUCCAUCCCCUCCUAGUUACUCUGUGGGAGUCUGUUAACUAAAACCAGAUAUAAUUCCAUCCCCUCCUAGUUACUCUGUGGGAGUCUGUUAACUGAAACCAGGUAUGAUUCCAUCCCCCUCCUAGUUACUCUGUGGGAGUCUGUUAACUAAAACCAGGUUUGAUUCCAUCCCCUCCUAGUUCCUCUGUGGGAGUCUGUUAACUAAAACCAGGUAUGAUUCCAUCCCCCCCUAGUUCCUCUGUGGGAGUCUGUUAACUAAAACCAGGUUUGAUUCCAUCCCCCUCCUAGUUACUCUGUGGUUUCUGCUGUCUAAAACCAGGUUUGAUUCCAUCCCCUCCUAGUUACUCUGUGGUUUCUGCUGUCUAAAACCAGGUUUGAUUCCAUCCCCCUCCUAGUUACUCUGUGGUUUCUGCUGUCUAAAACCAGGUUUGAUUCCAUCCCCUCCUAGUUACUCUGUGGUUUCUGCUGUCUAAAACCAGGUUUGAUUCCAUCCCCUCCUAGUUACUCUGUGGUUUCUACUGUCUAAAACCAGGUUUGAUUCCAUCCCCCUCCUAGUUACUCUGUGGUUUCUGCUGUCUAAAACCAGGUUUGAUUCCAUCCCCCUCCUAGUUACUCUGUGGUUUCUGCUGUCUAAAACCAGGUUUGAUUCCAUCCCCCUCCUAGUUACUCUGUGGUUUCUGCUGUCUAAAACCAGGUUUGAUUCCAUCCCCUCCUAGUUACUCUGUGGGAGUCUGUUAACUAAAACCAGGUUUGAUUCCAUCCCCUCCUAGUUCCUCUGUGGGAGUCUGUUAACUAAAACCAGGUAUGAUUCAAUCCCCUCCUAGUUCCUCUGUGGGAGUCUGUUAACUAAAACCAGGUUUGAUUCCAUCCCUUCCUAGUUACUCAGUGGUUUCUGCUGUCUAAAACCAGGUUUGAUUCCAUCCCCCUCCUAGUUACUCUGUGGUUUCUGUUGUCUAAAACCAGGUUUGAUUCCAUCCCCUCCUAGUUACUCUGUGGUUUCAGCUGUCUAAAACCAGGUAUGAUUCCAUCCCCUCCUAGUUACUCUGUGGGAGUCUGUUAACUGAAACCAGGUAUGAUUCCAUCCCCCUCCUAGUUACUCUGUGGGAGUCUGUUAACUAAAACCAGGUUUGAUUCCAUCGCCUCCUAGUUCCUCUGUGGGAGCCUGUUAACUAAAACCAGGUAUGAUUCCAUCCCCUCCUAGUUCCUCUGUGGGAGUCUGUUAACUAAAACCAGGUUUGAUUCCAUCCCCCUCCUAGUUACUCUGUGGUUUCUGCUGUCUAAAACCAGGUUUGAUUCCAUCCCCCUCCUAGUUACUCUGUGGUUUCUGCUGUCUAAAACCAGGUUUGAUUCUAUCCCCUCCUAGUUACUCUGUGGUUUCUGCUGUCUAAAACCAGGUUUGAUUCCAUCCCCCUCCUAGUUACUCUCUGGUUUCUGCUGUCUAAAACCAGGUUUGAUUCCAUCCCCUCCUAGUUACUCUGUGGUUUCUGCUGUCUAAAACCAGGUAUGAUUCCAUCCCCCUCCUAGUUACUCUGUGGGAGUCUGUUAACUAAAACCAGGUAUGAUUCCAUCCCCUCCUAGCUACUCUGUGGGAGUCUGUUAACUAAAACCAGGUAUGAUUACAUCCCCCUCCUAGUUCUUCUGUGGGAGUCUGUUAACUAAAACCAGGUUUGAUUCCAUCCCCCUCCUAGUAACUCUGUGGUUUCUGCUGUCUAAAACCAGGUAUGAUUCCAUCCCCUCCUAGUUACUGUGUGGGAGUCUGUUAACUAAAACCAGGUAUGAUUCCAUCCCCCUCCUAGUUACUCUGUGGCAGUCUGUUAACUAAAACCAGGUUUGAUUCCAUCCCCUCCUAGUUACUCUGUGGGAGUCUGUUAACUAAAACCAGGUUUGAUUCCAUCCCCUCCUAGUUACUCUGUGGGAGUCUGUUAACUAAAACCAGGUAUGAUUCCAUCCCCUCCUAGUUACUCUGUGGUUUCUGCUGUCUAAAACCAGGUAUGAUUCCAUCCCCCUCCUAGUUACUCUGUGGGAGUCUGUUAACUAAAACCAGGUUUGAUUCCAUCCCCCUCCUAGUUACUCUGUGGUUUCUGCUGUCUAAAACCAGGUAUGAUUCCAUCCCCUCCUAGUUACUCUGUGGGAGUCUGUUAACU
Molecule: non-coding RNA, 2885 nt
Organism: Oncorhynchus mykiss (rainbow trout)
Lineage: Eukaryota; Metazoa; Chordata; Actinopteri; Salmoniformes; Salmonidae
Source: RefSeq, a predicted model, not a curated record